GCCAUGUUCGCAAGAAACUUGCAUCUCUGCAGUGCACUAGUAACAGCGCCGGUCACAACAGUGGCGGCAGUAACACAAGCCACCGUUGCCGUCACGAUUAUUUUCAGGGAAAAGAAACCAACUCUUGCCGGAAGAGACGAACCAACCAUGGCGUCGCGAGUUCAGAGCGCGUUGAGCAUGUCCUCGGCGCUGCUGUUGGUGAACGCGCCGCCCUCCUCGAGGUUGAUCACCUUGACCACGCCGUCCUCCGCGAGCAGCGCGUAGCGGCGGGACCGGACGCCGAGCCCCACGGGCUUGUCGGAGAGGUCGAGCUCGACGCCCAUGGCGCGCGCCAGCUCGCCGUUGCCGUCCGACAGGAGCAGCACCUCGUCCCCGAUCCCCAGACUCUCCUUCCACGCGCGCAUCACGAAGGCGUCGUUGACGGAGACGCAGGCCACGGUGUCGACGCCCUUGGCGCGGAGCUCCCCGGCCUUGGCCACGAACCCCGGGAGGUGCUUCUGGGUGCAGGUGGGCGUGAACGCGCCGGGCACGGCGAAGAGCACCACCUUCUUCCCCGCGGUGAGGUCGCGGACCGUCACCGUCUUCAGCUCGCCGUCGGGGGAGGACGUGUCGAAGUAGGAGAGCGUCGCGUCAGGGAGCCGGUCCCCGACCGCGAUGGUCUUGGCCGCCGCCGCGGGGGCCGCCGACGCCGACGACGCCACGGCCCGGAUUGGCGCGCCAAGGAACCCCCGGAGGGGUGCCCCGGCGGCCAGGCGGCGGGAGGCGAAGGAGAGGGAGGAGGAGGAGGCGGGGCGCGACAGGAGGAUGCGCUUACCGGCGGCGGCCGCGGUGGCGGACAGAGCAGCGAGGGCGGAGGUAGCCAUGGAGAUGGGGUGGGUGGCGAUGCGGUCGAGGAAUUGGCCUGGGGCUGGAGGUUUCUGUAUUCACUUUGGGGGACGCGACUCGCGAGCCCUAGGAUGGAAUGGGAAAUGGGAUCCUCUGCAAUCCGGGAUCUGGUGGUAGUAGGAGUGUGAUUGGCUGCGGGCGGCGGGGCUUAGCCGAUGUGCUCUGCCUCUGCGCCUCUGCCACGUCGUGUCGUCUCUUCGACUUAGGUUCGGU
This 1098-nucleotide unclassified non-coding RNA is filed under the name Zea mays. RNAcentral's name for it is "misc RNA Zm00001eb387790". Lineage: Eukaryota; Viridiplantae; Streptophyta; Magnoliopsida; Poales; Poaceae. The record is from RNAcentral.